Molecule: ribosomal RNA, 468 nt
Filed under: uncultured bacterium
Lineage: Bacteria
Description: partial 16S ribosomal RNA
Rfam family: Bacterial small subunit ribosomal RNA
Source: RNAcentral
GACGAACGCUGGCGGCGUGCUUAACACAUGCAAGUCGAACGGAAAGGCCCUGCUUUUGUGGGGUGCUCGAGUGGCGAACGGGUGAGUAACACGUGAGUAACCUGCCCUUGACUUUGGGAUAACUUCAGGAAACUGGGGCUAAUACCGGAUAGGAGCUCCUGCUGCAUGGUGGGGGUUGGAAAGUUUCGGCGGUUGGGGAUGGACUCGCGGCUUAUCAGCUUGUUGGUGGGGUAGUGGCUUACCAAGGCUUUGACGGGUAGCCGGCCUGAGAGGGUGACCGGCCACAUUGGGACUGAGAUACGGCCCAAACUCCUACGGGAGGCAGCAGUGGGGAAUAUUGCACAAUGGGCGGAAGCCUGAUGCAGCAACGCCGCGUGCGGGAUGACGGCCUUCUGGUUGUAAACCGCUUUCGCCUGUGACGAAGCGUGAGUGACGGUAAUGGGUAAAGAAGCACCGGCUAACUACGUG